RNAcentral lists this ribosomal RNA (467 nucleotides) under uncultured bacterium. RNAcentral describes it as "partial 16S ribosomal RNA". It matches the Rfam family "Bacterial small subunit ribosomal RNA", at positions 29 to 507 of the family's 1533-position model. The record is from RNAcentral.
ACGAACGCUGGCGGCGUGCUUAACACAUGCAAGUCGAACGGAAAGGCCCUGCUUUUGUGGGGUGCUCGAGUGGCGAACGGGUGAGUAACACGUGAGUAACCUGCCCUUGACUUUGGGAUAACUUCAGGAAACUGGGGCUAAUACCGGAUAGGAGCUCCUGCUGCAUGGUGGGGGUUUGAAAGUUUCGGCGGUUGGGGAUGGACUCGCGGCUUAUCAGCUUGUUGGUGGGGUAGUGGCUUACCAAGGCUUUGACGGGUAGCCGGCCUGAGAGGGUGACCGGCCACAUUGGGACUGAGAUACGGCCCAGACUCCUACGGGAGGCAGCAGUGGGGAAUAUUGCACAAUGGGCGGAAGCCUGAUGCAGCAACGCCGCGUGCGGGAUGACGGCCUUCGGGUUGUAAACCGCUUUCGCCUGUGACGAAGCGUGAGUGACGGUAAUGGGUAAAGAAGCACCGGCUAACUACGUG